RNAcentral lists this ribosomal RNA (446 nucleotides) under uncultured bacterium. RNAcentral describes it as "partial 16S ribosomal RNA". It matches the Rfam family "Bacterial small subunit ribosomal RNA", at positions 354 to 796 of the family's 1533-position model. The record is from RNAcentral.
GUAAGGAAUAUUGGGCAAUGGAGGCAACUCUGACCCAGCCAUGCCGCGUGAAGGAUUGACGGCCCUCUGGGUUGUAAACUUCUUUUGUACGGGAAUAACCCUCCGAACGUGUUCGGAGCUGAAGGUACCGUAAGAAUAAGGAUCGGCUAACUCCGUGCCAGCAGCCGCGGUAAUACGGAGGAUCCAAGCGUUAUCCGGAUUUACUGGGUUUAAAGGGUGCGUAGGCGGAUUGAUAAGUCAGUGGUGAAAUCCUGCAGCUUAACUGCAGAACUGCCAUUGAUACUGCCAGUCUGGAGUAUGGUUGAGGUAGCUGGAAUGUGUCAUGUAGCGGUGAAAUGCUUAGAGAUGACACAGAACACCGACGGCGAAGGCAGGUUACCAACCCAUUACUGACGCUGAGGCACGAAAGCGUGGGGAUCAAACAGGAUUAGAAACCCGUGUAGUCC